AGAGUUUGAUCCUGGCUCAGAUUGAACGCUGGCGGCAGGCCUAACACAUGCAAGUCGAACGGUAACAUUUCUAGCUUGCUAGAAGAUGACGAGUGGCGGACGGGUGAGUAAUGCUUGGGAACUUGCCUUUGCGAGGGGGAUAACAGUUGGAAACGACUGCUAAUACCGCAUAAUGUCUACGGACCAAACGGGGCUUAGGCUCCGGCGCAAAGAGAGGCCCAAGUGAGAUUAGCUAGUUGGUAAGGUAAUGGCUUACCAAGGCAACGAUCUCUAGCUGUUCUGAGAGGAAGAUCAGCCACACUGGAACUGAGACACGGUCCAGACUCCUACGGGAGGCAGCAGUGGGGAAUAUUGCACAAUGGGGGAAACCCUGAUGCAGCCAUGCCGCGUGUGUGAAGAAGGCCUUCGGGUUGUAAAGCACUUUCAGUUGUGAGGAAAAGUUAGUAGUUAAUACCUGCUAGCCGUGACGUUAACAACAGAAGAAGCACCGGCUAACUCCGUGCCAGCAGCCGCGGUAAUACGGAGGGUGCGAGCGUUAAUCGGAAUUACUGGGCGUAAAGCGCACGCAGGCGGUUUGUUAAGCUAGAUGUGAAAGCCCCGGGCUCAACCUGGGAUGGUCAUUUAGAACUGGCAGACUAGAGUCUUGGAGAGGGGAGUGGAAUUCCAGGUGUAGCGGUGAAAUGCGUAGAUAUCUGGAGGAACAUCAGUGGCGAAGGCGACUCCCUGGCCAAAGACUGACGCUCAUGUGCGAAAGCGUG
RNAcentral lists this ribosomal RNA (758 nucleotides) under uncultured marine microorganism. RNAcentral describes it as "bacterial SSU rRNA". It matches the Rfam family "Bacterial small subunit ribosomal RNA", at positions 8 to 763 of the family's 1533-position model. The record is from RNAcentral.